CAGUCGCCGCGGUAAUACAGAGGGUGCGAGCGUUAAUCGGAUUUACUGGGCGUAAAGCGUGCGUAGGCGGCUUCUUAAGUCGGAUGUGAAAUCCCUGAGCUUAACUUAGGAAUUGCAUUCGAUACUGGGAAGCUAGAGUAUGGGAGAGGAUGGUAGAAUUCCAGGUGUAGCGGUGAAAUGCGUAGAGAUCUGGAGGAAUACCGGUGGCGAAGGCGGCCCCCUGGACAAAGACUGACGCUCAGGUGCGAAAGCGUGGGGAGCAAACAGGAUUAGAUACCCCUGUAGUCCCUGUCUCUUAUAC
RNAcentral lists this ribosomal RNA (301 nucleotides) under uncultured bacterium. RNAcentral's name for it is "partial 16S ribosomal RNA". It matches the Rfam family "Bacterial small subunit ribosomal RNA", at positions 509 to 807 of the family's 1533-position model. The record is from RNAcentral.